UACGUAGGGGGCUAGCGUUAUCCGGAUUUACUGGGCGUAAAGGGUGCGUAGGUGGUUUCUUAAGUCAGGAGUGAAAGGCUACGGCUCAACCGUAGUAAGCUCUUGAAACUGGGGAACUUGAGUGCAGGAGAGGAAAGUGGAAUUCCUAGUGUAGCGGUGAAAUGCGUAGAUAUUAGGAGGAACACCAGUAGCGAAGGCGGCUUUCUGGACUGUAACUGACACUGAGGCACGAAAGCGUGGGGAGCAAACAGGAUUAGAUACCCUGGUAGUCCACGCCGUAAACGAUGAGUACUAGGUGUCGGGGGUUACCCCCCUCGGUGCCGCAGCUAACGCAUUAAGUACUCCGCCUGGGGAGUACGCUCGCAAGAGUGAA
RNAcentral lists this ribosomal RNA (373 nucleotides) under uncultured bacterium. RNAcentral describes it as "bacterial SSU rRNA". It matches the Rfam family "Bacterial small subunit ribosomal RNA", at positions 524 to 898 of the family's 1533-position model. The record is from RNAcentral.